This 460-nucleotide ribosomal RNA is filed under the name uncultured bacterium. Its description in RNAcentral is "partial 16S ribosomal RNA". It matches the Rfam family "Bacterial small subunit ribosomal RNA", at positions 338 to 795 of the family's 1533-position model. The record is from RNAcentral.
CCUACGGGCGGCAGCAGUGAGGAAUAUUGGUCAAUGGACGAGAGUCUGAACCAGCCAAGUAGCGUGAAGGAUGACUGCCCUAUGGGUUGUAAACUUCUUUUAUAUGGGAAUAAAAUGUUCCACGUGUGGGAUUUUGUAUGUACCAUAUGAAUAAGGAUCGGCUAACUCCGUGCCAGCAGCCGCGGUAAUACGGAGGAUCCGAGAGUUAUCCGGAUUUAUUGGGUUUAAAGGGAGCGUAGGUGGAGUGUUAAGUCAGUUGUGAAAGUUUGCGGCUCAACCGUAAAAUUGCAGUUGAAACUGGCAGUCUUGAGUACAGUAGAGGUGGGCGGAAUUCGUGGUGUAGCGGUGAAAUGCUUAGAUAUCACGAAGAACUCCGAUUGCGAAGGCAGUUCACUGGACUGCAACUGACACUGAGGCUCGAAAGUGUGGGUAUCAAACAGGAUUAGAUACCCUUGUAGUC